This 416-nucleotide ribosomal RNA is filed under the name uncultured bacterium. Its description in RNAcentral is "bacterial SSU rRNA". It matches the Rfam family "Bacterial small subunit ribosomal RNA", at positions 355 to 775 of the family's 1533-position model. The record is from RNAcentral.
UGGGGAAUAUUGCGCAAUGGGCGAAAGCCUGACGCAGCGACGCCGCGUGGGGGAUGAAGCUUUUCGGAGUGUAAACCCCUUUCGACCCGGACGAAUGACCCGCAAGGGUUUGACGGUACGGGUAUAAGAAGCCCCGGCUAACUACGUGCCAGCAGCCGCGGUAAUACGUAGGGGGCCAGCGUUGCUCGGAAUUACUGGGCGUAAAGGGUUCGUAGGUGGUGCGGCAAGUUGGGAGUGAAAUCUCUGGGCUUAACCCAGAGGCUGCUUUCAAAACUGCCGUGCUCGAGUGCGAGAGAGGUCAGUGGAAUUGCAGGUGUAGCGGUGAAAUGCGUAGAUAUCUGCAGGAACACCCGUGGCGAAGGCGGCUGACUGGAUCGCAACUGACACUGAGGAACGAAAGCUAGGGGAGCAAACAG